RNAcentral lists this long non-coding RNA (363 nucleotides) under Homo sapiens (human). RNAcentral's name for it is "non-protein coding LINC00115:39". The record is from RNAcentral. Lineage: Eukaryota; Metazoa; Chordata; Mammalia; Primates; Hominidae.
AUGUCACUCACCUUCAGGCGGCCCAAGACACUGCGACUCCGGAGGCAGCCCAGAUAUCCUCGGAAGAGCACCCCCAGGAGAAACAAGCUUGGCCACUAUGCUAUCAUCAAGUUUCCGCUGACCACUGAGUCGGCCGUGAAGAAGAUAGAAGAAAACAACACGCUUGUGUUCACUGUGGAUGUUAAAGCCAACAAGCACCAGAUCAGACAGGCUGUGAAGAAGCUCUAUGACAGUGAUGUGGCCAAGGUCACCACCCUGAUUUGUCCUGAUAAAGAGAAGGCAUAUGUUCGACUUGCUCCUGAUUAUGAUGCUUUCGAUGUUGUAACAAAAUUGGGAUCACCUAAACUGAGUCCAGCUGGCUAA